RNAcentral lists this ribosomal RNA (164 nucleotides) under uncultured bacterium. RNAcentral's name for it is "partial 16S rRNA". It matches the Rfam family "Bacterial small subunit ribosomal RNA", at positions 355 to 511 of the family's 1533-position model. The record is from RNAcentral.
UAGGGAAUCUUCCACAAUGGACGCAAGUCUGAUGGAGCAACGCCGCGUGAGUGAAGAAGGUCUUCGGAUCGUAAAACUCUGUUGUUAGAGAAGAACACGAGUGAGAGUAACUGUUCAUUCGAUGACGGUAUCUAACCAGCAAGUCACGGCUAACUACGUGGCAG